Non-coding RNA from Schistosoma curassoni, 45 nucleotides. The record is from Rfam. Lineage: Eukaryota; Metazoa; Platyhelminthes; Trematoda; Strigeidida; Schistosomatidae.
AUUCAGCUAACGAGUUCAAAACAGGACGCAACGCGAGUCCUGGAU